UGAUCCUGGCUCAGAUUGAACGCUGGCGGCAGGCCUAACACAUGCAAGUCGAGCGGCAGCGGGAAAGUAGCUUGCUACUUUUGCCGGCGAGCGGCGGACGGGUGAGUAAUGCCUGGGGAUCUGCCCAGUCGAGGGGGAUAACUACUGGAAACGGUAGCUAAUACCGCAUACGCCCUACGGGGGAAAGCAGGGGACCUUCGGGCCUUGCGCGAUUGGAUGAACCCAGGUGGGAUUAGCUAGUUGGUGAGGUAAUGGCUCACCAAGGCGACGAUCCCUAGCUGGUCUGAGAGGAUGAUCAGCCACACUGGAACUGAGACACGGUCCAGACUCCUACGGGAGGCAGCAGUGGGGAAUAUUGCACAAUGGGGGAAACCCUGAUGCAGCCAUGCCGCGUGUGUGAAGAAGGCCUUCGGGUUGUAAAGCACUUUCAGCGAGGAGGAAAGGUUGGUAGCUAAUAACUGCCAGCUGUGACGUUACUCGCAGAAGAAGCACCGCUAACUCC
This 502-nucleotide ribosomal RNA is filed under the name Aeromonas sp. AER No.206. RNAcentral describes it as "bacterial SSU rRNA". It matches the Rfam family "Bacterial small subunit ribosomal RNA", at positions 14 to 504 of the family's 1533-position model. The record is from RNAcentral. Lineage: Bacteria; Pseudomonadati; Pseudomonadota; Gammaproteobacteria; Aeromonadales; Aeromonadaceae.